UUAAAAAUAAAUUGGAUAGGCAUAUGGAUGAGAAGGGAAUGGAGGGUUAUGGUAUGAGUGCAGGCAGGUGGGACUAAGGGAAAAUAAUUGUUCGGCACGGACUUGUAGGGCCGAGAUGGCCUGUUUCUGUGCUGUAAUUGUUAUAUGGUUAUAGGUCACGGAGAGAACGUACAAACUCUGUACAGACAGCACCCGUGGUCAGGAUCGAACCCGGGUCUCUGGCGCUGUGAGGCAGCAACUCUACCGCUGGGCCACCAUGCCGCAUCUUGUCAGAGUUAAAUUCCAUUUGCCAUUCUUUAGGCACCAUCCUCCCAACUGAUCUAGAUCUUGUUGUAAACUUUGAUAUGCUUUUCUCUACAAGACCUCAAACAUGCAUCGUACUGUGGGAUAGAGCGAUUGUCUCUUCCUUCACAAGAAUCCUGCUCCAUGUUGCUACAUAUUUCCCAUUUAUCACUACUCCCCUUCCUCAAAAUAACAGCGUCUUCAAUUCAUGGAAACAGCCCUGGACACGGUGUAACAUCGCAAUGCCUGUUGUACGACAUCCUGCUUGAGUUGUAAAGCCCUUGAUCAGUGAGAAAUAUAUUGAAGAUUCACCGUAAAGUCGCGGCAAGAAAGUGAACUUGGUAAGUACUCGAACAGCUGUUAUUCCCAAUGUUGGAGAUCAGAGUUUCACCAUUGAGCUAAUGAAUCCUGCAAUGUGUACAGGUGCACAUUCCUCCCCCCCCACCCCACACAUACCACCGCUCUUUGCAAGGGAGAUGAUUUGGAAAGCUUUGACAAGGUUAUGCAAUCAGUCACAGAAGCAAACAGUCUGUCUGCCUCACGCAAUGGCAGCUCCACGGUAAAUUAGCGAGGCAUGGGACGAGGAAUCCGAGAGGCUUUUUCAAAGGCUAGAUUCAAACGUAAACCAUGUUUGGUGGAACAAUUGCACAGAUUUCCACAUGCAGUGAAAAGGUGUGAUCAAAAGAGAACCGUGGAAGGAGAGGCAGUCGGGCCAAACACUCCUACCUGUGAGGAGAAGCUACGGAAUAUAACAUUAUGGAAAUGAACAUUCAGGAAGGAACUGCAGAUGCUGGUUUAAACCGAAGGCAGGCACAAAAAGCUGGAGUAACUCAGCGGGACAGGGAGCAUCUGUGGAGAGAAGGAAUGGGUGAUGUUUCGGGUCGAGACCCUUCUUCAGACUGUUAUCAGGCUUCUGAAUGGUCCUGCCAUAAGCUAGGGUCCUGUCCGAUUCACCUCUACCCCAUUGCGGACAUUGGACUUUGCCACUUUGUCUCUGGGACUAGUGCGCUACAAUGCUGACAACUAUAUUUGUUUAGUUUAGAAAUACCGCGCGGAAACAGGCCCUUCGGCCCACCGAGUCCGUCCGCACCGACCAGCGAUCCCCGCACACUAACACUACCCUACACACACUAGUGACUAUGUACAUGAAAUACACCAAGCCGAUUAACCUGCAAACCUGAACGUCUUUGGAGCAUCUCUUAAAGAUAGCGGAGUCAGGGGAUAUGUGGGAGAAGGCAGGAACGGGGUACUGAUUGGGCAUGAUCAGCCAUGAUCACAUUGAAUGGCAGUACUGGCUCAAAGGGCCGAAUGGCCUACUCCUGCACCUAUUGUCUAUUGUCUACUGAGUGUGGGAGGAAACCAGAGCACCCGGGAAAAACCCACGCAGGUCACGGGGAGAACGUGCAAACUCCGUACAGACAGCACCCGUAGUCAGGAUGGAACCCGGGUCUCCGGCGCUGUGAGGCAGCAACUCUACCGCUGCGCCACCGUGCCGCCCUGCACACUGCAUCAUUCCCCGUCUUACGCUGAAUAGUGCACUUGAGUUUGGUGCAUAGUGUGUUGAUGUAUCGUGCUAUGAAGUGAACAUAUGGCCGGCAUGCGCACUUGGCUCCCCAACUGACAGAAGGGGAACAUGAUUGGGACUCUGCAUCCUGUGAGCAGCGACUCCCAGGAUAUUUCUCUUUCCCGCAUGGCCACAAGACGUGAUGGGCAUGGGCCUUCACGUGUAUAACGCCUCCCUCCCUACUGCAGGAGCUCCUCCAUCAGUUAAUUAAACAUGAUAUAAAUCACGGCA
Leucoraja erinaceus (little skate) is the source of this 2077-nucleotide long non-coding RNA. RefSeq lists it as uncharacterized. The transcript has 2 exons. The record is from RefSeq and is a predicted model, not a curated record. NCBI's taxonomy places the organism in Eukaryota, Metazoa, Chordata, Chondrichthyes, Rajiformes, Rajidae.